This 73-nucleotide transfer RNA is filed under the name Thermoleophilia bacterium. RNAcentral describes it as "tRNA-Glu". It matches the Rfam family "tRNA". Rfam says of the family: Transfer RNA (tRNA) molecules are approximately 80 nucleotides in length. Lineage: Bacteria; Bacillati; Actinomycetota; Thermoleophilia. The record is from RNAcentral. RNAcentral also lists the same sequence under 2 other names.
GGCGCAUUCGUCUAGGGGCCUAGGACGCUGCCCUCUCACGGCGGUAACACGGGUUCAAAUCCCGUAUGCGCUA